RNAcentral lists this transfer RNA (75 nucleotides) under bacterium. RNAcentral's name for it is "tRNA-His". It matches the Rfam family "tRNA". Rfam says of the family: Transfer RNA (tRNA) molecules are approximately 80 nucleotides in length. Their secondary structure includes four short double-helical elements and three loops (D, anti-codon, and T loops). The record is from RNAcentral.
GCGGCAGUAGCUCAAUGGCGGAGCAUCGGAUUGUGGUUCCGAGGGUUGCGGGUUCAAAUCCCGUCUGCCGCCCCA